AACGAACGCUGGCGGCGUGCUUAACACAUGCAAGUCGAACGGAAUGGUCCUGCUUUUGUGGGGUGCUCGAGUGGCGACCGGGUGAGUAACACGUGAGUAACCUGUCCUUGACUGUGGGAUAACUUCAUGCAACUGGGGCUAUUACCGGGUAGGAGCUCCUGCUGCUUGGUGGGGGUUGGUAAGUUUCGGCGGUUGGGGAUGUACUCGCGGCUUAUCAGCUUGUUGGUGGGGUGGUGUCUUACAAAGGCUUUGACGGGUAGCCGGCCUGAGAGGGUCACCGGCCCCACUAGGACUGAGAUACGGCCCGGACUCCAACGGGAGGCAACGGUGGGGAAGGGUACACAGUGGGCUGAGGCAUGGUGUAGCACAGCCACGUGGGGGAUGACAUCAUUCGGGUUGGAAUCCAAUUUCGCCUGUGACGAAGCGUGAAUGACGGUAAUGGGUGAAGAAGCACCGGCUAACUACGUG
Molecule: ribosomal RNA, 468 nt
Filed under: uncultured bacterium
Lineage: Bacteria
Description: partial 16S ribosomal RNA
Rfam family: Bacterial small subunit ribosomal RNA
Source: RNAcentral